RNAcentral lists this ribosomal RNA (1408 nucleotides) under Sutcliffiella horikoshii. RNAcentral describes it as "Bacillus horikoshii 16S ribosomal RNA". It matches the Rfam family "Bacterial small subunit ribosomal RNA". Lineage: Bacteria; Bacillati; Bacillota; Bacilli; Caryophanales; Bacillaceae. The record is from RNAcentral.
AGCUUGCUUUUGAAAGGUCAGCGGCGGACGGGUGAGUAACACGUGGGCAACCUGCCUGUAAGACUGGGAUAACUUCGGGAAACCGGAGCUAAUACCGGAUAAUAUAAGGAACCUCCUGGUUCUUUAUUGAAAGAUGGUUUCGGCUAUCACUUACAGAUGGGCCCGCGGCGCAUUAGCUAGUUGGUGAGGUAACGGCUCACCAAGGCGACGAUGCGUAGCCGACCUGAGAGGGUGAUCGGCCACACUGGGACUGAGACACGGCCCAGACUCCUACGGGAGGCAGCAGUAGGGAAUCUUCCACAAUGGACGAAAGUCUGAUGGAGCAACGCCGCGUGAGCGAUGAAGGCCUUCGGGUCGUAAAGCUCUGUUGUUAGGGAAGAACAAGUGCGAGAGUAACUGCUCGCACCUUGACGGUACCUAACCAGAAAGCCACGGCUAACUACGUGCCAGCAGCCGCGGUAAUACGUAGGUGGCAAGCGUUGUCCGGAAUUAUUGGGCGUAAAGCGCGCGCAGGUGGUCCUUUAAGUCUGAUGUGAAAGCCCACGGCUCAACCGUGGAGGGUCAUUGGAAACUGGGGGACUUGAGUGCAGAAGAGGAAAGUGGAAUUCCAAGUGUAGCGGUGAAAUGCGUAGAGAUUUGGAGGAACACCAGUGGCGAAGGCGACUUUCUGGUCUGUAACUGACACUGAGGCGCGAAAGCGUGGGGAGCAAACAGGAUUAGAUACCCUGGUAGUCCACGCCGUAAACGAUGAGUGCUAAGUGUUAGAGGGUUUCCGCCCUUUAGUGCUGCAGCUAACGCAUUAAGCACUCCGCCUGGGGAGUACGGUCGCAAGACUGAAACUCAAAGGAAUUGACGGGGGCCCGCACAAGCGGUGGAGCAGGUGGUUUAAUUCGAAGCAACGCGAAAAACCUUACCAGGUCUUGACAUCCUCUGACACUCCUAGAGAUAGGACGUUCCCCUUCGGGGGACAGAGUGACAGGUGGUGCAUGGUUGUCGUCACCUCGUGUCGGGAGGAUGUUGGGUUAAAUCCCGCAACAAAGCGCAACCCCUUGAUCUGAUGAUCUUAGUUGCCAGCAUUCAGUUGGGCACUCUAAGGUGACUGCCGGUGACAAACCGGAGGAAGGUGGGGAUGACGUCAAAUCAUCAUGCCCCUUAUGACCUGGGCUACACACGUGCUACAAUGGACGGUACAAAGGGCAGCAAAACCGCGAGGUCGAGCCAAUCCCAUAAAACCGUUCUCAGUUCGGAUUGCAGGCUGCAACUCGCCUGCAUGAAGCCGGAAUCGCUAGUAAUCGCGGAUCAGCAUGCCGCGGUGAAUACGUUCCCGGGCCUUGUACACACCGCCCGUCACACCACGAGAGUUUGUAACACCCGAAGUCGGUGGGGUAACCUUUUGGAGCCAGCCGCC